AAAGUCGUAACAAGGUUUCCGUAGGUGAACCUGCGGAAGGAUCAUUACCAAUCCAAAAUAUUAUCCACCACUGUGAACUUGUCAACGUCUUUUGGGUGGAAGCAAAAGUUUAAUUUUCUUUUAUUUCACCCAACGUUUUUAUAACAAUAAAAACACCCUUUUAAACAAUUUAUGUUGAAAACUUUAAAUUUUUUAAAUUUAAUUAAUACAUAAAAUACAACUUUUAACGGUGGAUCUCUUGGCUCAU
This 247-nucleotide unclassified non-coding RNA is filed under the name Glomeromycotina sp. RNAcentral describes it as "partial contains small subunit ribosomal RNA, internal transcribed spacer 1, and 5.8S ribosomal RNA". The stretch from base 1 to 47 matches the Rfam family "Eukaryotic small subunit ribosomal RNA", at positions 1785 to 1831 of the family's 1831-position model. Lineage: Eukaryota; Fungi; Glomeromycota. The record is from RNAcentral.